CUUUACCUAUAACCUACAUAUGUCCUCUGUACAAAACCAUUUCUAGGUCACUUACAGUACGAUGACAAUGCUAUGGGAUGACUGUCACAGUCCUUAUUCAGAGAACAAUGACAGACAGAAGUGUGCACAUGCUCACUACAGACAUGACCAUGAUGGCCUUAGCACACAGCAUGGAAAUGAACACCAAGACAAAAAGUGCUCAGGGCCUUUGUGAUCACUCACGGUCCACUACAAAGUCCAGGGCAAUACGAAGAGCAGCUGACCAGCCAUUUCCACUCUUUCUGCAACCCUGGUCCUCUCUUGCCAAGUGACGAUCUGUCCUUGCCUCACAGGAACUGGGAAGUGGACAUCCUUGCCUGCCAUGCUGCCUCUCACAGUGCAUUGCUACUUUCUGAUGCCAUUCGGUGGGUGGCAGCCACUGGGCAGAGGGCAAAGCUUAG
RNAcentral lists this long non-coding RNA (440 nucleotides) under Cavia porcellus (domestic guinea pig). RNAcentral's name for it is "lncRNA (ENSCPOG00000032505.1)". The record is from RNAcentral. Lineage: Eukaryota; Metazoa; Chordata; Mammalia; Rodentia; Caviidae.